GAGGGUAAUAGGAAAGCAAAACAGGUGGGCAGUGAGUGGUAAGUGGAGGAGGGAGGAGGGAGGCUCGGGAAGUCGCUCACGCCGUUGCUGCUGGAGAGGAAGUGCCGGCGGCGGCGGCGCCCGUAGGUGGCGGACGACGAGAGGACGCGCCGGCCCGCAGGCUGCCGAGGUAGAGGAGCGAACACCGGCUCGAGCUCAGCGGGAGCUGCAGCCAGCUGGGCGAGGUGGCGCGCCGGUACCUCGACGCCGACGAGCGGUUCGUGUUGGGCCUGUUGGCGUAGGCGUAACGCCGCAGGCCCCGUCACGCCGGCGAGCACCGCGACGACAGCGUGUGGCUGGGUGACGACGUCCUCGUGCCCCAGUGCCGUGACGAGUCGGAGAGGUAGACGCUGCUCUUGUUCCGGUAGCACCAGCUCCGGCCGCGCUAUGCUGGCGAGCACACGCUCGAGUUCAGCCGGCGCAGCGGGUGCCGGUCCCUCUUGCGGCGGACGCGCGACGAGGCGGAGAGGGUCGAGCUGCCGCGGCGGCGGCGGCGCCAGCCGGCGCACCCUCGGCAGCGCGACGAACACAGGGAGGUGCUCCGGCCGACCCGUGCGUCCUUCUUCCUGCGGCGGUGCCGCGAGAUGCGCGAGACGUCGCCCCGCGCGCUCUUGGCGGAUGCACGCGGGGAACGACCUGGACCUCAGGUCGUACCACCUAUUCCGGAGGAUGCACGAGGUGAGGGACCACCCGAAACGGUUCCCGGCGAGGCGGUGGCACCUCCUCCCGCUGUAGGGGCAGGACCACCUCUACCACCUCCAGCCCUGGAGUGUCGUCUUCCUCUAGUGGUGCGAGAGGGAGGAGGUCUAAACACUGCUGUUGCGCCGGAUGGUGUGGUACCAACGGGCGCUCCCGCGGUAGGGAGGGGAGCAGCGGGAGAGGUUCAGGAGGAGGCACGCGCGGGGUUCGAGUUUUGGUUACGACUCCGCGAUCAGCUCUACGAUGCCGUUGGCGCCUCGCCCUCGGACGCGCGAUGAUCCGGCCGCCGCUAGCAACGCCGCCCACUAUGGUAAGUCAAUGGUUGAGCUAGACCUGUUCGGAGACUAGGUCUUCUCCUAUGUUAGGAGAUGAAGAAGGUGCGGAAGUGGUGCCUAGGUCCUCCAAUGACAGGGGACCGACGAGGUACUCCAGCGGUAGCAGCAGAGGAAGGAUAGGUGGGUCGUCGGUCACAGGCCUGAGGAGGACGUGCUACUACACGUUCAGGGUACACGGUCCUUAUAUCUCGAACCCUAAACCCUUAGUACAGUCCCCAUUCCUGUGCACUGAACUUCGUAAGACUCCAUUUGAGAUAGCAAGUGAAUUUAUACAUUCUAGUGGAGGGACAAGAAAAUAAGCCUUGACCGAUAUCAAAAACGACAGGUCCUAUUCGUACCGAUCUAUAGUACUUUUUGAAUAAAGACAGAUAAAACAUAUUCACAUUAAAUGGUAUUCUUUAUUAAGACUAGAUACAACAAAUUGUAUUAGAAUUAAAGAGGUAUAACACCUACUCGUGUUACUUGUCAUGCAGAUGUUAGUUUGAACCUAAUUGUACUGACGUACUUCUGACUGAUCCUCCUUAACAACACGAACACCUUGUAGCUGGAAACAUCUCGGUCAGUACAAUUGUAUGGGUAUACUACAGGAACCUUAAAAUAGAUGCGGUCAUCUGGUAUGUCUUACCAGUGCAGAACCGACAAACCCAUAAACAACUGAAGGGUUGUGGUUUCUGACCUUCUCCUGAACCAUUCUCAGUCGUAUUAUAUAAAACAAAAUAAAGAAAGUAAGUCUGAUAUUUUCCUCAUACAUAUACAUCAAUGAGGGUAACGACGAUUGUUAUCGAAGAAAGUACCUCCUCCAACAUCGGGAUACGAUUGCCAUGAAACGUUUUUAAAGUCGGUAAAUUAUACGUAACACGCCUCCUUAUAUUGGUAAACGUAACCGUCUCUGGGGGUGAAAACUUGGAAAAGACAAGUUUGACGUCUAGAGAACUCAAAGUCAUUUUAAGUCAUGACAAAAAGUCACAUGAGACAAGACCGUUUUGUUAUUAAAUCAUUUCCUCAUGUAGUAGAAAAACAUAACACUAAUAUAAGUACUAUAAAACAACGUCUUUUAUUUCUCCAACAUUCUAUACACCGUGUUACGUUAUUAUCUGUUACUUUAGAACCGAUGUCUCCACGCUCGGCGCACAGAGAUUUGCGUAAAAGAAGGGACAACUAGUUGAAAUAAAGUCGAAUAGUAAUCCACGUGUAUGAGUACUCUAAUAGAAAACCGAUCUAAAAUUAAUAAAUCUAAAAGGACACAACAAAGGAGCCUAUACGAACGACAAUGGUUUUACGCAACUACCAUCCACUUUACAUAAAAUGUGUAUUUAUGAAGUUGAUAGGAUUAAUCCAUCCUAUAUACCCUUUGUUGUACGUCCUUAUGUUCGUAACUUUCUUUACAAGUUAUACACAGUAGGAACUAAAUAUAAACACUAUGAAAAGUCUUAGGAAGUCGUCCGAAAACAAUUAUGAAAAAUACCUUUAACAUCUUGUCAUAGAUAUUCUUUCCUUCCUUGUUUUGAUACAUACAGAUGUUUGACUACAAUCUUGUAACACAUCCAAGACCAGUGGGUAGUCGAGUCGAAGAACCUGAUAAUAUCAUCUUUUACAGUAUCAUUCGACCGUAAGUACCGUUUAUCGGACUAGUAAUAUGUUUUCAAACGAAACAAGUGUCGGCUAAUUAAAGUAGUCAUUCUUAAAUGAUUCUGCUGCUACCGUUAUUUAACAAAACCGUGUACUUUAUCGUUCUGUUUCCUUUCUGAUAUACCGUACACUUGGCUGUAACUUCUUUACAAGUCAUCCGCAUUACAUCAUCAACAAGACGAAAGCAAGGUAACUCUUACUUGUAUUUAACAUGACCUCACACAUACUAGUUUAACACGACUUACGAACCUAUGACCAUCGUCUACUAACUGUCUACUUAUUAAAACAUUAGUUAUCACCUAAACCAAGACACUACCUAAUUCGUACGAAAAGAAUGUCGUUUCGAAGUUCCUGUCUAACACACAGACUAAAUAGAUCGCCUACAAAGAAA
This 3093-nucleotide ribosomal RNA is filed under the name Triticum aestivum (bread wheat). RNAcentral's name for it is "partial small subunit ribosomal RNA". Lineage: Eukaryota; Viridiplantae; Streptophyta; Magnoliopsida; Poales; Poaceae. The record is from RNAcentral.